AUUGAGGAAGUAUUCAUAAACGUCACAUUUUAAAUGUUACGCAUGGGGACAUUGUAAUUGAAAAACAAGAUUGGCAAUAUGGCAAUUCGUUUACUAUUAUAGCAUUUUCUACGCGCUGUUACAUGGUAUAUCAAUUUUUUUGUAAUUAAUAAACUACGUACUUUAUUCUUCGAACAUUACCACACGUACAAUUAACGUGCUAAAAGUUAUAAAAUGUCCUCUCUCUCGUCCGAGGCUGUGUCGCCGCGAAGCUCGGGUUGUUGUUAUCAUCGAUUGUGUCCAGAAUGCUGCUAUUUCAUACUGACCGUGUGGUAGUCUUCGGCUAGAUGUAUGCACCUUGCGGCGGCUUGUAGCGCGCUCGGGGGCAAGUGGUCACCGCGACACACGCGCAGGG
This is a long non-coding RNA of Plodia interpunctella (Indianmeal moth), 394 nucleotides long. RefSeq lists it as uncharacterized. Lineage: Eukaryota; Metazoa; Arthropoda; Insecta; Lepidoptera; Pyralidae. The record is from RefSeq and is a predicted model, not a curated record. The transcript is spliced from 3 exons.